Molecule: ribosomal RNA, 488 nt
Filed under: Lamyctes brevilabiatus
Lineage: Eukaryota; Metazoa; Arthropoda; Chilopoda; Lithobiomorpha; Henicopidae
Description: partial 16S ribosomal RNA
Rfam family: Bacterial large subunit ribosomal RNA
Source: RNAcentral
CGCUCUUUGGGGUUAAUAAAGAGUAAAGUCUGCCCACUGAAUAUUUAAAUGGCCGCAGUAUUUUGACUGUGCGAAGGUAGCAUAAUCAUUAGCUUAUUAAUUGUAAGCUGGUAUGAAAGGCCACAUGGGGAGAAACUGUCUCUUUUAAUUUAAUGAAAUUAAGUAUUCUGUGAAGACGCAGAAAUAUCUUUAGGGGACGAGAAGACCCUGUCAAGCUUUAUAAGUGCUCCCUAUAAAGGGCGGUUAGGGGUAAUUAUUAUGUUGGGGCGACAGUAGAAUUUAACAUCUAUUAUUUGUUUAUGAUUUGAUUAUAAUUAUGAUGACCCAAAAUUUUUGUUUAUAAGAACAAGCUACUGCAGGGAUAACAGCGUAAUUUUGUCAGAGAGUUCAUAUUGAUGAUGAAGAUUGCGACCUCGAUGUUGAAUUAGGAUACCCUUGGGGUGCAGCAGCUCUAGGAGGGUGGUCUGUUCGACCAUUAAAUUCCUACA